CGUGCCUAAUACAUGCAAGUAGAACGCUGAAGCUUGGUGCUUGCACCGAGCGGAUGAGUUGCGAACGGGUGAGUAACGCGUAGGUAACCUGCCUGGUAGCGGGGGAUAACUAUUGGAAACGAUAGCUAAUACCGCAUAACAGUCGACAUUGCAUGAUGUUGAUUUGAAAGGGGCAAAUGCUCCACUACCAGAUGGACCUGCGUUGUAUUAGCUAGUUGGUGAGGUAACGGCUCACCAAGGCAACGAUACAUAGCCGACCUGAGAGGGUGAUCGGCCACACUGGGACUGAGACACGGCCCAGACUCCUACGGGAGGCAGCAGUAGGGAAUCUUCGGCAAUGGACGGAAGUCUGACCGAGCAACGCCGCGUGAGUGAAGAAGGUUUUCGGAUCGUAAAGCUCUGUUGUAAGAGAAGAACGAGUGUGAGAGUGGAAAGUUCACACUGUGACGGUAACUUACCAGAAAGGGACGGCUAACUACGUGCCAGCAGCCGCGGUAAUACGUAGGUCCCGAGCGUUAUCUGGAUUUAUUGGGCGUAAAGCGAGCGCAGGCGGUUAGAUAAGUCUGAAGUUAAAGGCUGUGGCUUAACCAUAGUACGCUUUGGAAACUGUUUAACUUGAGUGCAGAAGGGGAGAGUGGAAUUCCAUGUGUAGCGGUGAAAUGCGUAGAUAUAUGGAGGAACACCGGUGGCGAAAGCGGCUCUCUGGUCUGUAACUGACGCUGAGGCCCGAAAGCGUGGGGAGCAAACAGG
RNAcentral lists this ribosomal RNA (750 nucleotides) under uncultured Streptococcus sp. Its description in RNAcentral is "bacterial SSU rRNA". It matches the Rfam family "Bacterial small subunit ribosomal RNA", at positions 43 to 776 of the family's 1533-position model. The record is from RNAcentral. Lineage: Bacteria; Bacillati; Bacillota; Bacilli; Lactobacillales; Streptococcaceae.